Molecule: ribosomal RNA, 500 nt
Filed under: uncultured bacterium
Lineage: Bacteria
Description: partial 16S ribosomal RNA
Rfam family: Bacterial small subunit ribosomal RNA
Source: RNAcentral
AUUGAACGCUGGCGGCAGGCUUAACACAUGCAAGUCGAGCGGAGCGAGGGUGCUUGCACCUUAGCUUAGCGGCGGACGGGUGAGUAAUGCUUAGGAAUCUGCCUAUUAGUGGGGGACAACAUUCCGAAAGGAAUGCUAAUACCGCAUACGCCCUACGGGGGAAAGCAGGGGAUCUUCGGACCUUGCGCUAAUAGAUGAGCCUAAGUCGGAUUAGCUAGUUGGUGGGGUAAGGCCUACCAAGGCGACGAUCUGUAGCGGGUCUGAGAGGAUGAUCCGCCACACUGUGACGGAGACCCGGCCGAGACUCCUACGGGAGGCAGCAGUGGGGAAUAUGGGACAAUGGGGGGAACCCUGAUCCAGCCAUCCAGCGUGUGUGAGGAAGGCCUUAUGUUUGUAAAGCACUUUAAGCGAGGAGGAGGCUACUCUAGUUAAUACCUAGGGAUAGUGGACGUUACUCGCAGAAUAAGCACCGGCUAACUCUGUGCCAGCAGCCGCCGUAA